GCCCGGGUGAUGAAAUGGUAUACAUAGGGGACUUAAAAUCCCCCGCCCAAAAGGCAUGCGGGUUCGAGUCCCGCCCCGGGCA
RNAcentral lists this transfer RNA (82 nucleotides) under bacterium. RNAcentral's name for it is "tRNA-Leu". It matches the Rfam family "tRNA". Rfam says of the family: Transfer RNA (tRNA) molecules are approximately 80 nucleotides in length. Their secondary structure includes four short double-helical elements and three loops (D, anti-codon, and T loops). The record is from RNAcentral.